Molecule: ribosomal RNA, 468 nt
Filed under: uncultured bacterium
Lineage: Bacteria
Description: partial 16S ribosomal RNA
Rfam family: Bacterial small subunit ribosomal RNA
Source: RNAcentral
GACGAACGCUGGCGGCGUGCUUAACACAUGCAAGUCGAACGGAAAGGCCCUGCUUUUGUGGGGUGCUCGAGUGGCGAACGGGUGAGUAACACGUGAGUAACCUGCCCUUGACUUUGGGAUAACUUCAGGAAACUGGGGCUAAUACCGGAUAGGAGCUCCUGCUGCAUGGUGGGGGUUGGAAAGUUUCGGCGGUUGGGGAUGGACUCGCGGCUUAUCAGCUUGUUGGUGGGGUAGUGGCUUACCAAGGCUUUGACGGGUAGCCGGCCUGAGAGGGUGACCGGCCACAUUGGGACUGAGAUACGGCCCAGACUCCUACGGGAGGCAGCAGUGGGGAAUAUUGCACAAUGGGCGGAAGCCUGAUGCAGCAACGCCGCGUGCGGGAUGACGGCCUUCGGGUUGUAACCCGCUUUCGCCUGUGACGAAGCGUGAGUGACGGUAAUGGGUAGAGAAGCACCGGCUAACUACGUG